GCACUUUUUUUUCACGCUCGUAGGGCAUAUAUUGAGGCUGCCGGAGCAAUCCGGAUAUGGCGAUAAAUGGCCAUCGGAAUAAGCCGAUCGGACCCGGGGGCAGUACCCGGCGCCUCCACCAUCAGCCCAUUGGGCACUACGCAUCUAUCUGGCCGGAAUCGGCCGAGUGGGCUGCUGAUGGGGGCGAACCAGCAUCGACGAAGGUGUAAAGGGUGUGUUUUCGCCCGGUAUGGUUCCACCGUUAUCGGACCAUCCAGAAUAGUUGCCAAUGACAACUAUGCUGAGGUUGCUCUCGCUGCGUAAUGCAGUGCGAAAGACCUGAACUCAAGUCCUUGCUCCUAGCCGGGUAAGGCGCGGUCCGGAGGGCACCGGGCAACAGAAGCCCUCCAUU
RNAcentral lists this transfer-messenger RNA (391 nucleotides) under Hyphomicrobiaceae bacterium. It matches the Rfam family "Alphaproteobacteria transfer-messenger RNA". Rfam says of the family: Bacterial tmRNA, also known as 10Sa RNA or SsrA, is named for its dual tRNA and mRNA-like properties. Its role is to liberate the mRNA from a stalled ribosome. To accomplish this part of the tmRNA is used as a reading frame that ends in a translation stop signal. Lineage: Bacteria; Pseudomonadati; Pseudomonadota; Alphaproteobacteria; Hyphomicrobiales; Hyphomicrobiaceae. The record is from RNAcentral.